CCUACGGGAGGCAGCAGUGGGGAAUCUUGCACAAUGGGCGAAAGCCUGAUGCAGCAACGCCGCGUGAGCGAAGAAGGCCUUCGGUUCGUAAAGCUCUGUCCUCAAGGAAGAUAAUGACGGUACGUUACUAAGAAGCCCCGGCUAACUACGUGCCAGCAGCCGCGGUAAUACGGAGGGGGCUCGCGUUAUCCGGAAUUACGGGGCGUAACGGGUGCGUAGGUGGUUUCUUAAGUCAGAGGUGAAAGGCUAAGGCUAAACCGUAGUAAGCCUUUGAAACUGGGAAACUUGAGUGCAGGAGAGGAGAGUGGAAUUCCGAGGGUAGCGGGGAAAUGCGUAGAUAGUAGGAGGAACACCAGUGGCGAAGGCGGCUCUCUGGACUGUAACUGACACUGAGGCACGAAAGCGUGGGGAGCAAACAGGAUUAGAUACCCCUGUAGUC
RNAcentral lists this ribosomal RNA (439 nucleotides) under uncultured bacterium. RNAcentral's name for it is "partial 16S ribosomal RNA". It matches the Rfam family "Bacterial small subunit ribosomal RNA", at positions 338 to 795 of the family's 1533-position model. The record is from RNAcentral.